AUGAUCACGGUUCUCUUUUGUAUUACUUUGAGCGCAGCAGCGUCAGGUCUACUUCAUGAGAAAGUCCACCAGGAUCCGCCUGACAUUCACAAGCGUCCCGGAGAAUCAUCCAAAAUCCGCUGCUCGCACGCAAUCGACAACUACGAUGAAAUUCUUUGGUACAAGCAAACAUCGAUCGGCGGACAGCUGCAGUUCCUCGGACGGGUGGAGAACAGCUUCAGGUACCCGGAGGCCGGCAUGAAUGUGAGUUUGGAGGGAAGUGCAGAUAAAGGCCAGACCUGCACCUUAACAAUCGAAGGACUCACCUCGAGGAGCAGCGCGGUUUACUUCUGCGCCGCUCGCUACCACAGUGCUGAAAGUUAA
Molecule: non-coding RNA, 363 nt
Organism: Xiphophorus hellerii (green swordtail)
Lineage: Eukaryota; Metazoa; Chordata; Actinopteri; Cyprinodontiformes; Poeciliidae
Source: the annotation of a RefSeq genome assembly